UAAAAGGUAGGCUAUAAUCUAAGCCAGCGAAUUCAUGCUUCGCCGAAAGAACAAUCUCCUUUUAA
RNAcentral lists this transfer RNA (65 nucleotides) under Laemobothrion tinnunculi. Its description in RNAcentral is "tRNA-Met". The record is from RNAcentral. Lineage: Eukaryota; Metazoa; Arthropoda; Insecta; Psocodea; Laemobothriidae.